Pseudomonas fluorescens HK44 is the source of this 73-nucleotide transfer RNA. It matches the Rfam family "tRNA". From Rfam's summary of the family: Transfer RNA (tRNA) molecules are approximately 80 nucleotides in length. The record is from Rfam. Lineage: Bacteria; Pseudomonadati; Pseudomonadota; Gammaproteobacteria; Pseudomonadales; Pseudomonadaceae.
GGGUGAUUAGCUCAGCUGGGAGAGCGUCUGCCUUACAAGCAGAAUGUCGGCGGUUCGAUCCCGUCAUCACCCA